Molecule: ribosomal RNA, 433 nt
Filed under: uncultured bacterium
Lineage: Bacteria
Description: partial 16S ribosomal RNA
Rfam family: Bacterial small subunit ribosomal RNA
Source: RNAcentral
AACGAACGCUGGCGGCAUGCCUAACACAUGCAAGUCGAACGAGACCUUCGGGUCUAGUGGCGCACGGGUGCGUAACGCGUGGGAACCUGCCCUUAGGUUCGGAAUAACUCCCCGAAAGGGGUGCUAAUACCGGAUAAUGUCUUCGGACCAAAGAUUUAUCGCCUUUGGAUGGGCCGGCGUUGGAUUAGCUAGUUGGUAGGGUAAAAGGCUACCAAGGCGACGAUCCAUAGCUGGUCUGAGAGGAUGAUCAGCCACACUGGGACUGGGACACGGCCCAGACUCCUACGGGAGGCAGCAGUGGGGAAUAUUGGACAGUGGGCGAAAGCCUGAUCCAGCAAUGCCGCGUGAGUGAUGAAGGCCUUAGGGUUGUAAAGCUCUUUUACCCGGGAUGAUAAUGACAGUACCGGGAGAAUAAGCUCCGGCUAACUCCGUG